Molecule: ribosomal RNA, 253 nt
Filed under: uncultured bacterium
Lineage: Bacteria
Description: partial 16S ribosomal RNA
Rfam family: Bacterial small subunit ribosomal RNA
Source: RNAcentral
UACGAAGGGGGCUAGCGUUGUUCGGAAUUACUGGGCGUAAAGCGCACGUAGGCGGAUAUUUAAGUCAGGGGUGAAAUCCUGGAGCUCAACUCCAGAACUGCCUUUGAUACUGAGGAUCUUGAGUUCGGGAGAGGUGAGUGGAACUGCGAGUGUAGAGGUGAAAUUCGUAGAUAUUCGCAAGAACACCAGUGGCGAAGGCGGCUCACUGGCCCGAUACUGACGCUGAGGCACGAAAGCGUGGGGAGCAAACAGG